UAGGGAAUCUUCGGCAAUGGACGAAAGUCAGACCGAGCAACGCCGCGUGAGUGAAGAAGGUUUUCGGAUCGUAAAACUCUGUUGGUAGAGAAGAACGUUGGUGAGAGUGGAAAGCUCAUCAAGUGACGGUAACUACCCAGAAAGGGACGGCUAACUACGUGCCAGCAG
RNAcentral lists this ribosomal RNA (168 nucleotides) under uncultured bacterium. RNAcentral describes it as "partial 16S rRNA". It matches the Rfam family "Bacterial small subunit ribosomal RNA", at positions 355 to 514 of the family's 1533-position model. The record is from RNAcentral.